AUUGAACGCUGGCGGCAUGCCUUACACAUGCAAGUCGAACGGCAGCGCGGGAGCAAUCCUGGCGGCGAGUGGCGAACGGGUGAGUAAUAUAUCGGAACGUGCCCAGUAGUGGGGGAUAGCCCGGCGAAAGCCGGAUUAAUACCGCAUGAGACCUGAGGGUGAAAGCGGGGGAUCGCAAGACCUCGCGCUAUUGGAGCGGCCGAUAUCAGAUUAGCUAGUUGGUGGGGUAAAGGCCUACCAAGGCAACGAUCUGUAGUUGGUCUGGGAGGACGACCAGCCACACUGGGACUGAGACACGGCCCAGACUCCUACGGGAGGCAGCAGUGGGGAAUUUUGGACAAUGGGCGCAAGCCUGAUCCAGCAAUGCCGCGUGCAGGAAGAAGGCCUC
RNAcentral lists this ribosomal RNA (388 nucleotides) under uncultured bacterium. RNAcentral describes it as "bacterial SSU rRNA". It matches the Rfam family "Bacterial small subunit ribosomal RNA", at positions 29 to 418 of the family's 1533-position model. The record is from RNAcentral.